GACGAACGUUGGCGGCGUGCUUAACACAUGCAAGUCGAACGGAAAGGCCCUGCUUUUGUGGGGUGCUCGAGUGGCGAACGGGUGAGUAACACGUGAGUAACCUGCCCUUGACUUUGGGAUAACUUCAGGAAACUGGGGCUAAUACCGGAUAGGAGCUCCUGCUGCAUGGUGGGGGUUGGAAAGUUUCGGCGGUUGGGGAUGGACUCGCGGCUUAUCAGCUUGUUGGUGGGGUAGUGGCUUACCAAGGCUUUGACGGGUAGCCGGCCUGAGAGGGUGACCGGCCACAUUGGGACUGAGAUACGGCCCAGACUCCUACGGGAGGCAGCAGUGGGGAAUAUUGCACAGUGGGCGGAAGCCUGAUGCAGCAACGCCGCGUGCGGGAUGACGGCCUUCGGGUUGUAAACCGCUUUCGCCUGUGACGAAGCGUGAGUGACGGUAAUGGGUAAAGAAGCACCGGCUAACUACGUGCCAGCAGCCGCGGUGAUACGUAGGGUGCGAGCGUUGUCCGGAUUUAUUGGGCGUAAAGGGCUCGUAGGUGGUUGAUCGCGUCGGAAGUGUAAUCUUGGGGCUUAACCCUGAGCGUGCUUUCGAUACGGGUUGACUUGAGGAAGGUAGGGGAGAAUGGAAUUCCUGGUGGAGCGGUGGAAUGCGCAGAUAUCAGGAGGAACACCAGUGGCGAAGGCGGUUCUCUGGGCCUUUCCUGACGCUGAGGAGCGAAAGCGUGGGGAGCGAACAGGCUUAGAUACCCUGGUAGUCCACGCUGUAAACGGUGGGUACUAGGUGUGGGGUCCAUUCCACGGGUUCCGUGCCGUAGCUAACGCUUUAAGUACCCCGCCUGGGGAGUACGGCCGCAAGGCUAAAACUCAAAGGAAUUGACGGGGCCCCGCACAAGCGGCGGAGCAUGCGGAUUAAUUCGAUGCAACGCGUAGAACCUUACCUGGGUUUGACAUGGAUCGGGAGUGCUCAGAGAUGGGUGUGCCUCUUUUGGGGUCGGUUCACAGGUGGUGCAUGGCUGUCGUCAGCUCGUGUCGUGAGAUGUUGGGUUAAGUCCCGCAACGAGCGCAACCCUUGUUCACUGUUGCCAGCACGUUAUGGUGGGGACUCAGUGGAGACCGCCGGGGUCAACUCGGAGGAAGGUGGGGAUGACGUCAAGUCAUCAUGCCCCUUAUGUCCAGGGCUUCACGCAUGCUACAAUGGCUGGUACAGAGAGUGGCGAGCCUGUGAGGGUGAGCGAAUCUCGGAAAGCCGGUCUCAGUUCGGAUUGGGGUCUGCAACUCGACCUCAUGAAGUCGGAGUCGCUAGUAAUCGCAGAUCAGCAACGCUGCGGUGAAUACGUUCCCGGGGCU
Molecule: ribosomal RNA, 1346 nt
Filed under: uncultured bacterium
Lineage: Bacteria
Description: partial 16S ribosomal RNA
Rfam family: Bacterial small subunit ribosomal RNA
Source: RNAcentral